GGAAAGCAGCCGAGGUUGUAAAUUCUUUCUAACAUAGAAAAUCAUUCUUUGCCUUUUAGGAAAAGGGUUUGUUGUUUCAGCCACUCAGGCCUAUUUCCUCGACCCUUUUGUCCUUGCACAUCUUGGGGGUUAACUUCUGUUUGGGUUCUGUGAGGCUGCGCAAAUUAAGAGGGGGAAAUGUCCCAAACACAUAGAAUCCUCUCUCUCUAAAGAAUGGGACACCUCCUGAAGGAGUCCUGUCAGGUGUCAAGACUAUCAAAUGGAGAAAGAGAUGGGACUCAACUCCGAAGGCAAGGAAGAGAGCCGGGGAUUUACAGCUGAUGAGCAGAUGAGCGGUCAGUGGAUGGAAAAGUACUAAGAGAAUCGUUGCUAUGCUUACUUAAUAGGAUUCUGGCUGAAGCCAGGCCAGGGUGAUCAGAUGCCAAAGAUGAAAAAGCCAAGACAGGCCGGCACAGUGGCUCCUGCCUGUAAUACCAGAGCUUUGGGGGGCCAAGGCAGGCAGAGAUCACUUGAGCCCAGGAGUUCGAGACCAGCCUGGGCAACAUGGCAAAAUCCCAUCUCUACAAAAAAUAGCUACUCAGGAGGCUAAGGUGAGAGGAUCACUUGAACCUGGGAGGCAGAGGUUGCAGUGAGCCAUGAUUGUGCCACUGCACUCCAGCCUGGGUGAUAGAGUGAGACACUGUCUCAAAAAAAAAAAAAAAAAAAAAAAAAGAGUUAAGGCAUUCUGUGAGGAACCUCAAAGCAGCCAAGCAGAGGCAACGUUUGUGGCUGAACCAGCUGUGAAAAGCUGGAAAAACCUACCCAGCUCUACCCUGUAUGGCAGAGGAAAGUUCCCAGAGAUGUACAGAAAAAGCCAAGAGUAAUGCUGCCUCUGCGUUCUUGCUCAGUGUCUUAGAGGGAUGAAUAAUUACAAAAUGGUGAUUCCAACACUUUGAAGGACCAUCUUAAAGACAAAACUACCUAAUAAAGUUCAAGCUGCAUGGUCCGGCCUUUCAGCAGAUCACAGUCUUUCUCACCGACUGUGAGAAACUAUUCAGUUUCUCAGGGUGAGAUGGCUGAGCCCCACAGGGCUUACAAACAUGCGUGUGUAUGGUGUGUGGUGUGUGUGUGUGUGUGUGUGUAUAUGGUGUGUGUGGUGUGUGUGUGUGUGUAUGGUGUGUGUGGUGUGUGUGUGCACAUGUGUGCAUUCUGUGUGUGUAAGAGAAUUUUUUAAAAGAUGUAACUGUGAUUCUAGAAGUAGAAAAUGAACUUGUGCCAAAUGUUUUUAUUUAAUUAAUGUGAGAACAAGGAAGAUGUUAAAACUGGUUCAAGGGAGAAUCCAAAGACACAGAGACGUACAUCUGUGGUUUCACAGAUAUAAGUGGCUUCUUCUAGUGUAGGAGGGAAAUCCAGUUACAUUCUUGGUCCAUUUCAUAGUCUUUCACAAUUUUCCCUACUAUGCAGUAAACACACAGGCACACAUGCAUACACACUCUCCCACUUCCAUGCCUUUGUUCAUGUUGGUUACUUUUGAGCAAAAUCACUCUUCUCUCUCUCCUGCAAGUCCAAAUAUGAUUUGGACAUACUCCUAACAAAUCAGCAUCCCCAAGGGUGGGACCCAGUACUCUCUGCUUCCAACAGGCUUCCCCAGGGGCAUCUCUGACGACAGACUUUGGAAACCCCAAGUGAGAAUUACAAGUUCAGCCCCUGAGAGUUCAGGAAAAGGAGACUUCCACAUGCACUGAAAUUGUGAGGGAAUGGUUCCUGCAGGAUGCAGGUUCCAGAUUGGAGUUUGAAUGAUAGGCAGGAUUUGGAGAAAAGAGGCGGAGGAAUUUCAGGAAGGGGGAAGCCAUGGCGGGGAAGGGCACAGGAGUCAGAAUCAGCCUGGGGAAGCCAGGAUUCCAGCCUGAGCAUGCAGGAGGAAGAGAAAAUUGGGUGACUGUGGCAAACACAGAUCACAGAGGACCAAAGGGUGGACAAGAGGGUUAGACUCAGGCCAGAGGUAGUGCACAUUUUUUUUUUAG
Molecule: long non-coding RNA, 2003 nt
Organism: Callithrix jacchus (white-tufted-ear marmoset)
Lineage: Eukaryota; Metazoa; Chordata; Mammalia; Primates; Cebidae
Source: RefSeq, a predicted model, not a curated record